Long non-coding RNA from Cryptotermes secundus, 975 nucleotides. RefSeq lists it as uncharacterized. The transcript has 3 exons. Lineage: Eukaryota; Metazoa; Arthropoda; Insecta; Blattodea; Kalotermitidae. The record is from RefSeq and is a predicted model, not a curated record.
CUGACGACGGAGUUCAUGUGAUGUCAUAUCCGCCAUGCUCGAGUAUGUUAAUGUAGUUCAUGUAUAUCGAAGGCAGAAAUCCCGAAAGCUGGGUCGUAAUAAGAUACUCUUGUUCCUUGUACACUGGCCAAAAUCACUUUCGUUUUUACAACGUAUUUCCACGUAUUACUAUGUAUGUCUUCAUUAUGUGAGCAAUGGAGGGGGUGGAAAAUUCUGUAAAACUUCCUUAAUGACUCAAAUUCCACGGUGUGUCGGUAGAAGAAAUUUAUUGACGUGUGGAAUUUAGUAUUUAGCAAACAAGAUUCUGAAUGAUGAAGCAAUUCCAAUGAAUCCAUAUUGUUACUACACUAGCGUGGGGUACUUGUAAAAAACUCCAUCAAAAACACAUAACCUCACUAGCUUCAACGUUUAGAAGACAGCUACACCAAUAAUUGCACUACCCAUGCCAUUGUAUCUGCUCCAUACCAGCCAACUUACCAUCACAUGACUAACCAAGAAUAUAAGAUGCUCUCCCUUAUACAACAUAGUAACAAGAAAUGACAGUGCUGCCAUGUGAGAUAGGAACCCUAUGACAGGGCUUAGUUCACUGGCCACACUUGUGGCAACGUUGUGCUCCCAGUUUGUGUUUAAAAUGGCCGUGUCAAUUUGUGCAAUAAUUUGAUGUCUUCAUGCAAAAGGAGAAACUGCUACUGAAAUUCAUUGCCAACUUGUUUCUGUUUAUGGUGAAGAUGUUACUCACAGGCAAAAUGGUGUUGUGAAUUCGAAGAGGGAAGAAGUGAUGUUCAUGAUGAAAUAAGGAGUGGAAGGCCAUCUGUUGCCACUGAUGAAAUCAUCCAAAAAUCCGAUGAAAAUUUACAUGCUGACAGACGUUUAACCAUCAGUGAACUUCAUCAACAAGGUCCAGAAGUGUCGAGAGCUGUUCUCAACGUCUAAGAGAGCAGGUGGGAGAUUUCUACGACACUGGAAUAAAAAAAA